CAGUAUGAUACUUAAGGUGGAAAUUAACACCAAUACAAAUAUCUGGAGUCAGAGGGACACACUCAAACGAAUUAUUUUUUUAUAUUUAAAGGGAGACUAAUUAUAAGGUAGCAGUGAUAAAGUAUUCAGAUCAGGAGAUGCUAUUCUUUUAACCUAUUUAAAGAACUAUAAUAUAGCGAUUUGAAUGCUUUGUUUAAGUUUUCAG
Non-coding RNA from Pelobates cultripes (western spadefoot toad), 205 nucleotides. The record is from the annotation of a GenBank genome assembly. NCBI's taxonomy places the organism in Eukaryota, Metazoa, Chordata, Amphibia, Anura, Pelobatidae.